UAUAUAAACCUUUUCCCUCCCAGUAUUGCUGUUUGUUCUCCCAUCUCUCCUUCUGUGAAGCUUUUUGUGGCAGAGGCUUGUUGCCUCCCACCAAUGUACAACGUAAUGGCUUUGCAACACAAGGAGUGAGCUGCACUUUAUGGCAGCCUGAGCCAUAUUUGGCAACCAAAAAUAUUAUGAAACCAGCAGCACUUAGAAACCCAUCAGGAAGAUUGGCAUGUGAACUUCAUUAAAAAUGGGUAAUUCUUUGAAUCACGCAAAGUUGCCCGUCUGAAAGUCUAGCCUGUCUCGGCAUCUCGAUUAACUCUGUGCCAAGGACCAGCGUCGCAUAUUGCCCAUCUGCUGUUGAAAUUCAAUGAAUGUGCGAAGAACAGAGCGAAAAAAUUGCGAUUAGCGCAAACUCGUUUCUAGCGACGUGACUAACCAGCCCAGGGACAGACAUAGCACCGGAGGGAGAGGUCAGCAUUCGCCGUUGUCAGCAGCGAAGGCCCAGAGUUAAUAGCCAUUAUCACAACAAAAGAUCCGUUUCGGCGCUCGCCAGGACCUUCCUCGGUACAACACAGGAAAUUGACGGCGAUGUAUUUGUUUCUGCGAUUAUAAUCCAUCGCGCGUCAAUUUCAUGUGAAUUUGACAAUGAGACGUCCCAGAGGAGAGAGUUUUCCUGGCUGCGAGGCUGUUUCCUUCGGGGGUGGGAGGUGAGGUGGGGUAUGUGGGUGUCGUUACCUGGAAUCAGAAUUCGUUCGCGCAUUUCGCAAACCCGCAUUGGCGCAGACUUACCCGCUGGGUCUAUGCGGCGGAUUCGGAUCGCUCUGUCUCACCGCCCUCAGUCGGAGGCGGAGCAUGAAGAGGGAAUGAGACGCGAACCCAGCUCUGUCACUCCGUCCCGAACUGCUUUAUUCCGAGCAGUAAAACCCUAGUGCAUCGUCUCAGCACAGUUUGUAACAUAAGUCGGUCACUCUUUGGGGGGCGGGAGGGGUUAAGGAGCGACGGUGGGCCAUUCUGCCCAUCUAUAGCUCUCUGCUAUUCAAUGUGACCACAGCUGGUCCUCUUUCUUAAUGCCAUGGCUCCGCUCCCUCCUGUACAGAUAUUGUCUAGAAAUCUCUCUGUUUAUUUCUUAAAUAUACUGUGACUUGCCUUCCACAGUCCUCUGUGUCGGAGAAUUCCACAGGUUUGCCAUUGAACGUGUGAAGAAAUUUCUCAUCGCAGUCUGAAAUGGCCAGUCCCCACAUCCUUAGCCAUGGUCCCUCAGGAGCCCUUGUCCUAGACCCCACAGCCAGGGGAAAUAUCAUCCAUGCCUCCUACCCUGGCAGAACUCCAAAUGUUUCAACAAGACCCCUUCAUUCUUCUAAAUUUCAUUGGUUCAGCAAAUAGAUCAACCCAAUUUCUCCCCAUGCAACAAUCUUGUCAUCCCAGGAAUCAGACCGAGGAAGUUUCACAGCAGUCCCCUGAUACAUAAAUGGUGGUGUACCAAUAAUAUAACGGAACUGAUAAUACACAGGCCUGGACAGAUAUGUAGGAGACAGGAACUCCAACGUUUAAAUUCAGCUCAUUAAUACACCAGUGAAUAAAAUCAUUCAGUUUCGUUAAUAACAACACUGCAAUGAUUGGAUUUUGUAAAAGCCCAUCUGGUUUGCAAAUGUCUUUCAGCAAAGGAAACCCAGUCUCCUUACCUGGUCUGGCCUACAGUUUUUUUUUUCAAUUCACUGUGUGAUUGAAUCAUACAGCACAGAUCCAGACCCUUCAGUGCAAAUUGUCCACACUGACCAGACAUCCCAGU
Stegostoma tigrinum is the source of this 1777-nucleotide long non-coding RNA. RefSeq lists it as uncharacterized. The record is from RefSeq and is a predicted model, not a curated record. The transcript has 3 exons. NCBI's taxonomy places the organism in Eukaryota, Metazoa, Chordata, Chondrichthyes, Orectolobiformes, Stegostomatidae.